GCUGAGAUAGCUCAGUUGGCAGAGCAUUCCCAUGGUAAGGGAAAGGUCCCGAGUUCGACCCUCGGUCUCAGCUCCA
This 76-nucleotide transfer RNA is filed under the name Candidatus Dojkabacteria bacterium. RNAcentral describes it as "tRNA-Thr". It matches the Rfam family "tRNA". From Rfam's summary of the family: Transfer RNA (tRNA) molecules are approximately 80 nucleotides in length. Their secondary structure includes four short double-helical elements and three loops (D, anti-codon, and T loops). The record is from RNAcentral.